GGGGCUUAGCUCAGUUGGUAGAGCAUCUGGUUUGCAACCAGAAGGUCAGCGGUUCGAACCCGCUACGCUCCA
Molecule: transfer RNA, 72 nt
Filed under: Candidatus Dietzia intestinipullorum
Lineage: Bacteria; Bacillati; Actinomycetota; Actinomycetes; Mycobacteriales; Dietziaceae
Description: tRNA-Ala
Rfam family: tRNA
About the family: Transfer RNA (tRNA) molecules are approximately 80 nucleotides in length. Their secondary structure includes four short double-helical elements and three loops (D, anti-codon, and T loops).
Source: RNAcentral